RNAcentral lists this small RNA (2473 nucleotides) under Pyricularia oryzae. Its description in RNAcentral is "Magnaporthe oryzae sRNA M_BR32_EuGene_00106741". Lineage: Eukaryota; Fungi; Ascomycota; Sordariomycetes; Magnaporthales; Pyriculariaceae. The record is from RNAcentral.
AAUUAUUAAAAACCCCAAUUACCCAACCAGACGUUUAAUUGUUUUAACCCAUUGUAUUUUAUUAUAAGAACAGGUUACCCGAUAUUUUAAUCGUAAUACCCUAUCAUUAUAAUAGUCACUUACAAUUUAAUUAUAAUAUAUUUGCAACUGCACCCAAAUAAUUGCGGUCGAAGUCCAAAUGAAGAUACGGUUUCAAAAGAAGGACGAGGAAUAUAGGCGCGCUCUUUAUAUUAUUCGGGGUGAUGGAAAACCGGAGUGUGUAUUAAACAAGCAAUUAUACCAAAAGUUAACAGCUUCGUGUGCCGCUGUUCAAAUUAAACAAUACUUGGUUGUUUAUUACUUGCGGCCGCAAAAUCCAUCUCCAAAUAUCCUAUUAAUUAUGCAGGGGGCGAAGCGCCUGGUCUAGGCGACCAAGCUAGAUUUGCGCCGCUCCCGGAUUCUUCAUACCCCCAACCUUGCAAUAUUCUUUUUGCUUGGGUAUAAUCACACGCCUGCCUUUGACAAUGCACUGCUCCCCAAUAUUCGCCCCCGUUUUGGUACCGGGUAUAUCCAGUUGCUACCCAAUUAGCUUGAUUCAUCGCGUUAAUAAAAGAAGUUUUCCAUUGGGUUGCUUCUGUUUCGUCUUGCUGAAUAAGGAUUGGGCGAGCCGAGAACUUCAUUUUGAAACUUUGAGGCGCAGCGGUGGCGGUAGCAGCCAGAAGCCCCAAGGCCAAAUAGGUCCGAGUAAAAGAAACCAUUUUAAAAGGAUGAAAAGUAAAGUAUAAAGUGAAACUAAUUUGUUAGAAAGCGAAGUGUUUUCAACUGAGGCAAUGAAAAGAUGAACCUUUAGUCUGCAGAUAGUAUGGUUUAUAGUUUUUGGCCUUAUAAUAUUCAGAGGAUGAAUAAAGUAUAUAUAUUAAUUCUGGCUGCAGGUUACCCAGAGUUUUUUUUUCUUAUAAUCGUGCAUUAUUUGGGAUCUUAUAAUAAGUAACAAGGGUUUAUGGCAUGAAAUAUUAUAUAAUAUAUAAAAUAUUGCAUAAUUUGAAAUGCAUUUACUAUUUAUAUAAUAAGUUUCAAACAGAGUUUUUAUAAAUUAAUUAAUCAAAAAACGUACUAUGGUAGCGGGCAAAAAGAAACCACCCCUUGUAACCGUAUAUAUAUACGUGGGCCUUUAUUAAUUUAACUGUUCGCGGGAACCAUUAAAUACCUAAAUAACUUUUUUGUCCAAAAUUAUUACCAAAGUCGGCAAAACCCACAGAGCCCACACCAGUGGACACUGUACAGGGGGAUUAAUUUUUACCUUUACCACCAUAGUAAUUACGGAUAAAAGUGGUAUUUUUAUAUAUAUUAUAAAAUUAUUUAUAUUCGCGUUUGUAAUAAGUUUAGGGCUUGUUUUGAUUUAUAAUUAAAAUUAAAGCCCCCAUCGCAGAAUAACCCAAACGCGUAAAAUAUUUUACUAGCCAUAUAGUUUUUCCAUCAGUUAUAUUACUGAAAAAUAUUAGGCCUUCUCUUAGUUGAAAGGCACUUUGCUAAUUUGGUAGUCUUAGGAUUUACACCUAAAGCCCAUAGUUCCGCAAUUAAACCUAUAAUUUAACUGUAGCUUUAUUUAUACCCCGUGGAUCUGAAACAAUUCGCUUCGGUUUGGAUCUGAAACCAUCGCGUCGGUUUCGGUUUCGGUAGCAUAUAACCUCCUCGAUUUUAUUAAUUAACGAAAGUUUAUUCGGUAAUAACAAAUUUAAUAAAAACUGUAAAAGUACGCGGUUUGCACGUUGGAUACCAAAGUUAGCCAAAGUAUUAUAAAACGAUUUGAUUUUUAUUCUUAAUGCGCAAAUUGGUAAGCUUGGAUUGAAAAUCGGAAAAGUCCGUCGACGUUUUUUUUAAACUUUAUUAAAAUAUUCAAAUUUGGAUUUUAUAGAAUUAAUAUUUUAUUUAUAGAUAUAAUUUUGUAGUUUUUGCUAGUAGGGAUUAAUAAAGAAAUAAACUAUAUAUCAGAGUUUUGGUAAUAAUAGUACCUAAUAUAACAUAUUAAAAAACUAGAGGGUAGCAAAAUAUAAACUUUAUUAAAUUUAUAAUGGAAACGGGUUUAUAUUUUUACCAAUUUCACCGAUAUUUAAAGUAUAGUUUCAAAGACUGGGCUUUAUAUAAAAACAAACGUCCACUGGAAACGCGUGUUAUAAGAGGCCGAGAAUUGGUAAUUUUAUAUGGAAGAAUAUAUUUUUUGCAAAUGUUAUUAUUUUGUAAAUAAUAUCCUGAUGAGAAUAUAAGUAGAGAUAAUAUUUUAACCAUUAAAACGUCUAUUCCCGCAAUAAUAUUAGGUAAUAUAACAGUAAUAAAGUAUUAAACCUAUUAUUUCUAAAAAUAAAGUUUAAUUAAUAAAUUAAAUUUGAUUUAUAAAUUUAAUGCAAAAUUGGCACGUGCAAGUUCAGAGGUACCUAGACAGAAUUAAACCCUGUGGUUGCCAGGCAAAUUUAGGAAACUGUUGCAUUAGAUAAAU